This 89-nucleotide small nucleolar RNA is filed under the name Drosophila ananassae. Its description in RNAcentral is "snoRNA:GF26111". Lineage: Eukaryota; Metazoa; Arthropoda; Insecta; Diptera; Drosophilidae. The record is from RNAcentral.
AUUUAGAUGAUGUGAAAGGAGUACUGACAUAUGUGGCAUGAUUCACAUAAACCGCAACAAAAACAAUCCUCUAAAUUAGGUCCUGCUGA